Molecule: long non-coding RNA, 2134 nt
Filed under: Anolis carolinensis (green anole)
Lineage: Eukaryota; Metazoa; Chordata; Lepidosauria; Squamata; Anolidae
Description: lncRNA (ENSACAG00000036160.1)
Source: RNAcentral
ACAUACAAUAUAUUAUUAGCAUAGCACAAUAUAAGCAUUAAAUUACUAUAUUGUACUAUAUCAUUAUAUGGUAAUAUUAUUAGUAAUACUACAUUUAAUAUAUAUAUAUAAUUAAUAUUAUUAUAUUAUAUUAGUAUAAUAUUGUAUAACAUUAUAAGAUUAUUAUCAAUAUUAUAAUUAUAUACAAUAUAUUAUAUAUUUAUAAAUUAUUGUGUGUGUGUGUGUGUGUGUGUGUAAAAUUAGCAUAGCAUAUUGCUAUGGCACAGGAGAUGAGAUGGAAUCAUUUUCCUGGCUCUCAGGUUGGUAUGUCUUCCUGUAUAUGUGUGUGUGUGUGUGUGUGUGUGUGUGCGUAUGUGUGUGUGUGUGUGUAUAUAUAUAUAUAUAUAUGUAUAUAUAUAUAUAUAGAUAGAUAGAUAGAUAGAUAGAUAGAGAGAGAGAGAGAGAGAGAGAGAUGUGGUUGGGGGUGGGAGGUUGUCCAAGAGCAUAUCAGUGAACAUCCAGAAGAAUCUGUUUAGGGUGAAGAUGAUCCACAUUCUCAUAAGAUUAUGAAGCCCAUAAGGGCAUAAUAGGAAUCUUCUGGGGAAGAUCUGUUCUCUGCCGUCUUAGGACUCCAUAUAUGUGUGUGUGAGAGUAAGUUGCUUUGGGAUAGUAUUUCUGGAAGCCAGCUAGAAAGAAACUAAUUACCUAGUUACUCUUGAGUUAGAGGCGAUUCUCUAUGGCUUCAGUGUAGAUAGAUGGUGGGAACCCCAAUCUCUCAAAGCUAUAUUGAGUUGACACAUUGCAGAGCAAUGCAAAAAGUCAAAGAAAUGGCCUAAAACCGGGGCUCUCAUACAUUCUAAGCAAAAGGCCAGUUCAUGGUCCCUCAGACUGUUGGAAAGGGAGCAGAUGAAAAACAAUAUGAAAAUUCCAGCACACAGUGCAAAAACAUACAAAAGAACAAUAUAAUAUUUAAAACGAAGAGCAAUUUUAAUCAACAUAAACUGUCUAAACAUCCAAGACACCAGUUGAGCCUCCAGGUGGAAACUUCAGAAACUUCAGAAACUUCAAUAGGUCCAAAAUGAAGUAGCCACAAGGCUGUUUGGGACCAGUCACAGGGAGCAUAUAACUCACCUGUUGAAUGUUCCACUGAGUACUAUUACCGUAUAUACUUGAGUAUAAGCCGACGCAAAUAUAAGCCGAGGCACCUAAUUUUACCACAAAAAAAACUGGGAAAACAUUUACUCCAGUAUAAGCCGAGGGUGGUAAAUUUCAGAAAUUAAAAUAGAUACCAAUAAAAUUACAUUAAUUGAGGCAUCAGUAGGUUAAAUGUUUUGAAUAUUUACAUAAAGCUCAAAUUUAAGAUAAGACUGUCCAACUCUGAUCAAAUCAUUAUUCUCAUCUUCUUCAAUGUAAAUGUGCUUAUGUAUCCUUUUAAUAAUAAUAGAGUAAAAUAAUACAUGUAAUAAUAAUAAUAGUAAUAAAUAAUACAGGAAAAUAAUACAUGUAGUAAUAAAUAGAGUAAAAUAAUAAAUGCAAUAAUAAUACAGUAGAGUCUCACUUAUCCAAGCUAAACGGGCCAACAGAAGCUUGGAUAAGCGAGUAUCUUGGAUAAUAAGGAGGGAUUAAGAAAAAGUCUAUUAAACAUUAAAUUAGGUUAUGAUUUUACAAAUUAAGCACCAAAACAUCAUGUUAUACAACAAAUUUGACAGAAAAAGUAGUUCAAUACGCAGUAAUGUUAUGUUGUAAUUACUGUAUUUACGAAUUUAGCACCAAAAUAUCAUGAUAUAUUGAAAACUUUGACUACAAAAAUGGCUUGGAUAAUCCAGAAGCUUGGAUAAGUGAGGCUUGGAUAAGUGACUCUACUGUAAUAAUAAUAAGAUCAGAGUGAAAUAAUAAAUGUAUUAAUAAUAAUAAUAAAAAUAGUAAAAUAAAUGUAAUAGUAGCAACAAUAACAGAGAAAAAUAAUAAAUGUAAUAAUACCAAUUAUAAUAAAGUAAAAUAAUAAAUGUACCAUAUAUCCUUGAGUAUAAGCUGACCCAAAUAUAAGCCAACCAGGACCCUCACCCAAGUAUAAGCCGAGUGGGGCUUUUUCAGUCUUAAAAAAAGGGCUGAAAAACUAGGCUUAUACUUGACUAUAUACAGUAGUUCAUUUCUG